Molecule: unclassified non-coding RNA, 260 nt
Filed under: Hevea brasiliensis (rubber tree)
Lineage: Eukaryota; Viridiplantae; Streptophyta; Magnoliopsida; Malpighiales; Euphorbiaceae
Source: RNAcentral
CUCCACCGCGCCGAGCAGCCAAACCUCCAGCGCCACCGCCACCAGUGCCACUGGCACUACCGGCAACCGGUAACACCUCUACUGCAUCAUCACUAUCAUCCGGAUUAUCCUUCUCCUUAUCUUCAAAAGGCGGCGAUGAAACGAACAGGUCCUUCAAUUUCCUCCUAACUCUCUUUUUCUCUGGAGGACCGUUCUGGAGCUCAGAUUGGUCAUUACGGCGGGGGAUUCGGCGGGGGGGGGGGGCAGGGGGGGGGGGGGGG